GGGGCCGACUGGUUUUGACAGCAGGGUAAACUGGUAUGUAAGCAUGCCGAGCCUGUAAUCAUGCUCGUUAAUCCUGGUUACGAACCAAUAAAUGGCGAAACCAAUUACGCGCUCGCAGCCUAAUCGAAGCAUAGUAGAUUAAGGCUUUUCCGUCAUCAGAUGGCGGACGGGCUGUCUCUCCGGAACCCUGCCUUGCGGUUCCGGGUUCAGAGGCACCAGGAAAGCAGGGCUGGUUUGCCUGGCGCUCCGGAAGGCAAACGAGAAAACAGGAGCUAAGGCUGCAGAUACCUUCGGGUAAGAGAUGCCGGUUUCUCACUGCAGCACGAAAAUUGAACACCGGAUAAGCAUGUAGAAAACAUAUGGGUUUCCUGUUUGGACCGGGGUUCGAAUCCCCGCGGCUCCACAA
RNAcentral lists this transfer-messenger RNA (406 nucleotides) under Bacteroidota bacterium. RNAcentral describes it as "Bacteroidetes bacterium (sediment metagenome) transfer-messenger RNA". It matches the Rfam family "transfer-messenger RNA". From Rfam's summary of the family: Bacterial tmRNA, also known as 10Sa RNA or SsrA, is named for its dual tRNA and mRNA-like properties. Its role is to liberate the mRNA from a stalled ribosome. The record is from RNAcentral. Lineage: Bacteria; Pseudomonadati; Bacteroidota.